This is a non-coding RNA of Colletotrichum gloeosporioides Cg-14, 1449 nucleotides long. It matches the Rfam family "Ascomycota telomerase RNA", at positions 208 to 1846 of the family's 1858-position model. The record is from Rfam. NCBI's taxonomy places the organism in Eukaryota, Fungi, Ascomycota, Sordariomycetes, Glomerellales, Glomerellaceae.
UCGCACGACGCCUCCCCUUCAGUUCUCCGACUCUCAUUUUCCUCACGGAAUGUCUAUCGCAGACCCUCGGCACGGAUUGUGAGAACACGAUACGUCGCUUCCGAGCCUGUAACAGGACCUCGCUUGCCGCGGCUGGAUCGAUCGUGGCCUCGACAAAUGCAGUCCCGCCGAGAGAAUGGGUUUCGGAACUUAACCCUAAGUUGCCCUUUGGUUCAAGUAUUGCGUCUGCAGUCGUCGACUCUGCCUUUUAAGUCCGCCUGGCUGCAGCAAGGCUUCGCCGCUGAAAAGUGGUGUAGGCUGAGCGAGGCCGACGUGGACGGACCGGCAGGGAACACAGUCCAGUCACCAUCUGGUGCGCGAAAGGAGGGUUACUAUGAGUCGUUGUGUAAGAGCCUCUGGUCUGAGGCCGCUCGUCAGAACCCAUCCGCUGGAACCAGUACUCUGGCCAAGAAUAGGUCGAUUGGGGGUGACAGCAGCCAUGACUCGCGGGAUCUUGCUGGCGGCACAUUGCUCUUUCCAGGCUUAUGAUAGACCCAAGUGGCGGCUAUCAACUUGUGUGAGGAGACCAGUGGGCAGAGCGCAGCGUUGGCCACAAACAGUCAGCAUCGAAGUUUCUUCGAUAUCGUCGUGGUCUUCCCUUGCCGGUCGCACUUCAGUGUUGCGAGGAUUCCAUGGCUACGCACGGAAACUUUUCGAUCUGACAGGACCAAUUGCCAUGCUGACAGCUCUCGGCACCCACACCUCCAACCACGGCUUGGGACUUACUCAGCAGAAUAGCUGCCCGCAUCGGAUCUCGCAGCCAGUCGGCGUCCCCCCGAACCACACCCAGGCAACUGCCUUGGAUGUGACAUGCCUGCAUGUGAUCUGGCCAGGCGCAUCAGCCUCCAGUCGUGGGUUCUGUCCCACGACAUCGGAGGACGCCAAAUCCCCGUUGUUCUCCCCCGGAGACCAACACUUCCCCGUUGUUCGUUCAGUCAUGAAUGUCAACGGAUGAGAGCGCGGUAGUUUAUGGAUGUCUUUCGUUCGCGCGGAAUGCCCUCCUUUGUCCACCUACACAGACGGAGAGGAAACGAAAACUUGUCCCAAGAGGCCGUGCGGUACAAGCAGAGAGAGCCUUUUCGACUGUUAAGGGCCCGCCCAGACUGCAAUUCAGCUCGUCGAAUCCCUGUUGAGCUGAGUAUAUGAAGGCUGCGGCUCGUGAGCAGAGGGCAAUGCAAGCGAUCCCCGCUGCACUCUGGGAAGGAGGAGGGGGGCUGUCGGACAUAUCCAAUCGAUUCUGGGACCCAUCUCGUGUUGGAGUCAAAGUUUUGUGCUUGUCUAGAAUCGUGUAGAUAUGGACGGCAACUUCUUUUCAAACCGCUCAGGGAGCGCUUAUUCGAAUCAAAGGGCAGGCCAUCGGAAGGUAGCCCUGGUUGCCGUCUCUCCAGCAAUGGCGAGAUUGGCAACCCC